GUGCUCGGUUCAGCAGCACAUAUACUAAAAUUAGAACAAUACAGAGAUUAGCAUGGCCCCUGCGCAAGGAGACUAUGCCUUUAGGUAAUAAAGUGUGCUUCCCU
Suncus etruscus (white-toothed pygmy shrew) is the source of this 104-nucleotide small nuclear RNA. NCBI's taxonomy places the organism in Eukaryota, Metazoa, Chordata, Mammalia, Eulipotyphla, Soricidae. The record is from RefSeq and is a predicted model, not a curated record.